This 223-nucleotide long non-coding RNA is filed under the name Elaeis guineensis (African oil palm). Its description in RNAcentral is "long non-coding RNA (EGUI_LNC053254)". The record is from RNAcentral. Lineage: Eukaryota; Viridiplantae; Streptophyta; Magnoliopsida; Arecales; Arecaceae.
CCCCGCAACAGGUUCUACUGCCCCACCGUCGACGUCGACUGCUUCUGGUCCCUCGGCCACGACAACAUCAAGGAUCCCGCCACAGCUUGUGACGACAGCUCUGCCCUCUUGACCGAUAUCAUCCCGCCUUGCUACUCCAAAGUAGUUAGGCUCUCAGACGAAAGAAAGAUGCUGUCCUUUCGACAGGAUGGAGCCCCGAAGGAAGAGUAGGGGGUUUAAAUAG